CUGUCACUGUGCCCUAAGCAACACAACCUCCGCACAUGAUGCUCACAAUUGCAUGACCAGCACUGCGGCGCCUUUUCUUCCUUGCCAUCUCUUUCCUCCUUGGAGGUUGAAGAACAACCUUGAUUGCAGUAUCAAAAAUAGCUUUGACAUUCUGUUGAGUCUUGGAGCUACAUUCAAUAUAUGCUGCUGCACCAAUCUGUUUCCUCAGCUCCUCUCCUUGUGCAGAUGUUAUAACAUUAGAACUCAUAUGAUCAGCUAGAUAUCCCCUGUCUUCACGAAGAUCUAAUUUGGUACCAACAAGAACUAUUGGAACAUUUGGUGCAAACCGACGAAGUUCAGGCAUCCACUUCUUAAG
Molecule: unclassified non-coding RNA, 355 nt
Filed under: Hevea brasiliensis (rubber tree)
Lineage: Eukaryota; Viridiplantae; Streptophyta; Magnoliopsida; Malpighiales; Euphorbiaceae
Source: RNAcentral